CCUACGGGAGGCAGCAGUGGGGAAUAUUGGACAAUGGGCGCAAGCCUGAUCCAGCCAUGCCGCGUGAGUGAUGAAGGCCUUAGGGUUGUAAAGCUCUUUUGCCAGGGAAGAUAAUGACUGUACCUGGAGAAUAAGCCCCGGCUAACUUCGUGCCAGCAGCCGCGGUAAUACGAAGGGGGCUAGCGUUGUUCGGAAUCACUGGGCGUAAAGCGCACGUAGGCGGACUUUUAAGUCAGGGGUGAAAGCCUGAGGCUCAACCUCAGAACUGCCCUUGAUACUGGGAGUCUUGAGUAUGGUAGAGGUUGGUGGAACAGCAAGUGUAGAGGUGAAAUUCGUAGAUAUUUGCUAGAACACCAGUGGCGAAGGCGGCCAACUGGACCAUAACUGACGCUGAGGUGCGAAAGCGUGGGGAGCAAACGAGGUAUUAGACUACCCGUGGUAGUCCACGCCGUAAACGAUGGUAGUGCUAGACGUACGUACGACGCUCGUCGUGGUAGGUGGUCGCGACGGUAACCGUUAACGUACGACUCCGUCCGUCGGGUAGGUACGGUACGGACGACGAAGUUAAACGUUAAACGUAAGUAAGUAGUUACGGUUCGUGAGACGUCGACGACGGACGACGACGGAGGGAGGAGG
This 636-nucleotide ribosomal RNA is filed under the name uncultured bacterium. RNAcentral describes it as "bacterial SSU rRNA". The stretch from base 1 to 490 matches the Rfam family "Bacterial small subunit ribosomal RNA", at positions 338 to 873 of the family's 1533-position model. The record is from RNAcentral.